GAUGAACGCUGGCGGCGUGCCUAAUACAUGCAAGUCGAGCGAACGGACGAGAAGCUUGCUUCUCUGAUGUUAGCGGCGGACGGGUGAGUAACACGUGGAUAACCUACCUAUAAGACUGGGAUAACUUCGGGAAACCGGAGCUAAUACCGGAUAAUAUUUUGAACCGCAUGGUUCAAAAGUGAAAGACGGUCUUGCUGUCACUUAUAGAUGGAUCCGCGCUGCAUUAGCUAGUUGGUAAGGUAACGGCUUACCAAGGCAACGAUGCAUAGCCGACCUGAGAGGGUGAUCGGCCACACUGGAGCGGAGACACGGUCCAGACUCCUACGGGAGGCAGCAGUAGGGAAUCUUCCGCAAUGGGCGGAAGCCUGACGGAGCAACGCCGCGUGAGUGAUGAAGGUCUUCGGAUCGUAAAACUCUGUUAUUAGGGAAGAACAUAUGUGUAAGUAACUGUGCACAGCUUGACGGUACCUAAUCAGAAAGCCACGGCUAACUACGUG
Molecule: ribosomal RNA, 497 nt
Filed under: uncultured bacterium
Lineage: Bacteria
Description: partial 16S ribosomal RNA
Rfam family: Bacterial small subunit ribosomal RNA
Source: RNAcentral